AUAUUUGUACUUCAGUACUAUCAGUCCCUAUUGCAUUAUAUUAGUAGUUCAGUAGUGUCUGACUCUAUUGUAUUAUACUCGUACUUCAGUACUAUCAGUCCCUAUUCUGCCCUGCAAAGGCAAAACUCAGUAACAACGAAACUGGUCAAAGAUCUUUGAUCUGUUGUAAUGGCCAAGUAUAUUACCUGAUUAACGUGGUAUUUAGUUUCCUGACACAAUAACAAUAAUAAAACAGUUGACAGAAAUUGCUAUCUGUCUAUACAGAAAAAUACUUUUAAGUCAGAUUUUGAAGAUUUGCCAUUGUUUGGUAUUAUUGUAUUAUACUAACUAGCACUUCAGUAUUCAGGGUGGGACUGAGAGUGCUCUGUCUGUUAAGGUGCCUGCCCACUCUUGUGUGAUGGAGGUUUUUGUAUGGCGACUUAACCAUUAUGAAUCGUUGUGGUGGACUUUUGGAAGCGGAACAAAACUAGUGCUGAAAACUGGUCCCUCUAUCAGACCCACAGUGUCUCUGCUCCCCCCGUCCUCUGAGCAGCUCUUCGGGGGCUCGGCCACACUGGCCUGCCUGCUGAGUGGCUACUCCCCCCAGGGGGCGAUGGUGAGCUGGGAGGUGGAUGGGGAGGAGGUGAAGGAUGGGGUCCUGACCUCCACAGAAGAAGAGAAGGGCGGCCACUACAGCCGCAGCAGCACCCUGACCCUGAGCAAGGCACGCUGGGAAGAGGGAGAGGUGUACACCUGCAGGGUCGCCCAUGAAGACACCAGUGAUUCGGCCGCCUUCCGGAAAAGUCACUGUAGUGUCUAGGGACCGGAGAAGCCAUUGUAGGAGGCUAGAGAGUCCACACAUAUUUGUGUUUUAGAGCUGAAUGUUACAGUAUAGUAGUGAAUCAUUUCAGGAGUGAUGUGUGCCAAAAUGAAGUAUUUUGUGAUUAAGUUGUAAAUGUAAUCUUGCUUCUGAGUUCAAAUAAAGCUUGUUUUAAUUGAAAUAUAA
This is a non-coding RNA of Oncorhynchus mykiss (rainbow trout), 985 nucleotides long. NCBI's taxonomy places the organism in Eukaryota, Metazoa, Chordata, Actinopteri, Salmoniformes, Salmonidae. The record is from the annotation of a RefSeq genome assembly.